This 255-nucleotide ribosomal RNA is filed under the name uncultured bacterium. RNAcentral describes it as "partial 16S ribosomal RNA". It matches the Rfam family "Bacterial small subunit ribosomal RNA", at positions 524 to 776 of the family's 1533-position model. The record is from RNAcentral.
GACAUAGGUCGCAAGCGUUAUCCGGAAUUAUUGGGCGUAAAGGAUGCGUAGAUGGUUCAGUAAGUUACUGGUGGGAAAUCGAGGCCCAACCUCGUGGAAGUUAGUAAUACUGUUGAACUUGAGUGCAGGAGAGGUUAACGGAACUUCAUGUGGAGCGGUAAAAUGCGUAGAUAUAUGAAAGAACAUCAAUAUGGCGAAGGCAGUUAACUAUUCUGCUACUGACAUUGAGGCAUGAAAGCGUGGGGAGCAAAACGG